UUGGAGGGCAAGUCUGGUGCCAGCAGCCGCGGUAAUUCCAGCUCCAAUAGCGUAUAUUAAAGUUGUUGCAGUUAAAAAGCUCGUAGUUGAAUUUCGGGAUCAAGGGAUCGGUCAUGCCUUGGUAUGUACUGGUCUUAUUGGUUCUCACCUUCUAAAGAACCAUGAUGUCAUUCAUUUGAUGUUAUGGGGAAUUAGGACUGUUACCUUGAAAAAAUUAAAGUGUUUAAAGCAAGCUUACGCUUGAAUACAUUAGCAUGGAAUAAUGAAAUAGGACAUCAGAUUCUAUUUUGUUGGUUUCUAGGAUCGAUGUAAUGAUUAAUAGGGAUAGUUGGGGGCAUUAGUAUUCAAUUGCCAGAGGUGAAAUUCUUGGAUUUAUUGAAGACUAACUACUGCGAAAGCAUUUGCCAAGGAUGUUUUCAUUAAUCAAGAACGAAAGUUAGGGGAUCGAAGACGACCAGAUACCGUCGUAGUCUUAACCAUAAACUAUGCCGACUAGGGAUCGGAUGAUGUUAAUUUUUUAAUGACUCAUUCGGCACCUUACGGGAAACCAAAGUGUUUGGGUUC
This 564-nucleotide ribosomal RNA is filed under the name uncultured Glomeromycotina. RNAcentral describes it as "SSU rRNA". It matches the Rfam family "Eukaryotic small subunit ribosomal RNA", at positions 548 to 1114 of the family's 1831-position model. Lineage: Eukaryota; Fungi; Glomeromycota. The record is from RNAcentral.